This is a long non-coding RNA of Zophobas morio, 2826 nucleotides long. RefSeq lists it as uncharacterized. The record is from RefSeq and is a predicted model, not a curated record. The transcript is spliced from 4 exons. Lineage: Eukaryota; Metazoa; Arthropoda; Insecta; Coleoptera; Tenebrionidae.
UGGUUGUGUAUCUACUCUCGCUUUAAGAUUUUAGUACUGUUAAUUAUAUUUGCUCUAAUUAUUAGUUUACUUUAUUUUUUUUCUUAGUUCAUGUUUUAACUCUUUUAAGUUCAUCGUUUAAGCCCUUAUUGUCGUUAGAGCAUUUUAAGAUCUUCAGGGUCGUAAAAGCUGAUGCCUACCGUUUUUUAGCCUCUACUUUGUAUAGUGUGUACAUAUUAAAGAUAUUCAUACAAACAAGCUGUCAAAUUAUUUUAUCCUAUUAUCGUGAACAGCCUAUUUAAAGGCCCCCUGAGCUGAUUGAGAUUUAAAUUGUGUUCUCCGUAUAGUGUUUUAUUUAGUUUGGGCUUCGCCAUUAUUAACAUUCUGGCGUUUACUACACUGUUGUUCGUUUUAUAGGGUAGAGUGUGAUAAUGGUCUCUUAAUACCUUGCAACUUAAAUUUGAUAUGCUUCUAAUUAGUUCCUUUUGUUUUUUUUUAAAUAUUUAUAGCAUUCGAUCUAAGUGUGUUUUCAUCACUUAUUUUUUUUGUCUGCCUUUUCAGUAGUUAGAGGCAAGAGGGGGUUUGGUUAAGUAGGGUUUAGUAAUAUAUUUGAGUAAAGAAAAGUAUACUUUCUCUUUUUUUUUAUUAAAAAAUUCUUCUUUUCGUUGUUUUUAAUAGUGGAUGCAUGUUCUGAUGAAAUGGACGAUGGCACUGUUAUUUAGUGACUGUUUUUUAUUAACUCUUUUUUUUAUUUUUUUGCAGCCAUCGUUGGGAUGUUGUUGGUUUGCGUAAACUGGUUUGGUUUUAUUGUACACAUGUUAUUAUAACAUAUUACAGUUGCCUUUUUCCUGAGUCAUAUGUUUCUUCGUAGCCUUACUAUCUUCAGCAUUGUGUUGAAUUGGUUGUCGUGGUCAUGUGCUGCUUUAGCAGUUUGACAUUUGUUCCAGUUUCCUUGUAUUGCUGAUGUCACUCUGUUUGAAUGGUUUUUAGGCUUUUAUGUUCUGAAUUUGCAUGCCGAAGAGUAGGUUGCCUGUUCUAAAUUGAGGAUUAAUUUUCUGUUCAUGCAUGUGUACUAUGACUUUGCAAACGAGAAGUUUUGGGCGUUUCCAUGUACUUUUUCAUUUUUAAUCAUUUUUUACUGUUGAGAAAAAUGGCUUGUGUAAAAGGCUGCUUUUGCCAUUGCUGUGUGUUAUUACUGAAUGCUUUUAAAAGUUAGUAAGCCUUAAGCUUUAUAAUUUGCCGCCCUAUUACCAAUUUUAGCUGAAGAUAACUUAAAACGACUGUAGAAGUCCUUUGAGAGAUUCCAAGGGAAAAAAUGCAAUACCGAUCUGCGUAUCAAAAGACUUUUUUUUGCCGUCCUUUGUUAAAAAUAAUUGAAGAGAUUUUUGGUCAAAAAAAAUGGUUAAGCGCAUUAUCCGUAUAACACCCUGAUUUGUCGGGUAAGGCCUGCAUCUUUAGAAGGAAUGGUAAAAAUACUGCAUCAGGGUAAAAAGAGACAUAUAUUUUCAAUCUAAUACUUAACUAUAUAAAUGGUGAUUACUCUAAAUUAACACUAAAAGCCCAUACGUUCUUAGCCUAAGCGUUUUAUAUGGUUACUUUUGAAUUGAUACAGUGUAGAAUUUGCUUUACUGUUAGUUUGUACUUUUAUUAAGUUAUAGUUUAAAUCAAAUUUGUAUAAUAUGACAUUGAAAGUAACUAACUUAGAGAAGUUAGCGUAACUUUUAAAUAAUGCUUGUAUAAUACCUAAUAUGCAUAUCUCGCCUAUAUUGGAAUGCUCCUUCGUUUUUUGCUUUAAUCGUUUUGUAAUUCUGGCGCACUCUGAUUUCUAUUUGGCCUUGUUGAAACAUACCUGUUAACAUGCUUUUCUUAAAACGUAUAUUUCGUCUUCCUCUCUUUUUUCCAAGGCAGUUACUACAACUUUAAACUGGCUUCCGUUAUAUCUUUGAUUGGUUAUGUCUGUAACUAAGGCUUUACUUAACAAAUUUCAUUUUAACAGUUAAAACUCUUCUUUUCUGAUUAGGAUGAUCACAAUGUCAAUUUUUCGACCACUUUAAAACUUUAGGGAAGAAAUACAACCGUUUACUUUACAAUGGCUCUUUUUUAGUAAAAGACGUUAUAGAACUUAAAUUUCUACUAUGUAAGAUAUAUUCGUAACAUAAUGAAAUAUUAACACUAGGUAUGCGUGUUAACAUAUUUUGCACGCGGCAUGGAAAAGUUGGCAUCUUAUACUAUAACUUUUAAAAUAUUAUAACUCGGGAGCUGUCAAUACCCUAUAUUUCCUUUACUGUUUUACAACUAAUACUAUGGAGUGUGCCAACCGUUCCCCCGGCCGUACUCUAAACCAGUUUUAUAAUUGUGUUUGUCCCCCCGAGAACCACUUUUAUUAAUCCUUUCUGGACGUUUGAAUAUGAUGAAUCUAAGAGAAAAACUUAAUGGAUAUAAUAUACUAAAGAAUUGAAUAUAUGAUUUCAAAAGAGUAAGUUCUUAUUGCGCUAAGUCAAAGCCUACACCGGACACGCUUGGAGUGGCCUAGUUGCCAUUCUGUAUUUUAAAGGGCGGAAGGUUCAAAGGUCACUCACUUUUCAGAAACAGAACAAAUUGGAUCACACGCGUCCGUCAAUAUUAUGGAUUUAUUAUAAACAAGAAAAAGAUAAAAUUACAAAGUAUUAAGUAGCUAAGAGAAAAGCGAGUAUAAGAUAUAUACACUAUUUUCGACUACUAACAGCUAAAAUUCAUAGUAUAUAGUCACCUGUGUGAUAUGAAUUAAAAGAUUGUAUAAUGGCAAGUUUUAGGAAGCUUAACCUUUUAAAAUAAAAAAAUAAGGAGCAUAAGCCUAAAGAUGGCAUA